UGGGGAAUAUUGGGCAAUGGGCGAAAGCCUGACCCAGCGACGCCGCGUGAGGGAAGAAGGUCUUCGGAUUGUAAACCUUUGUCAACAGGGACGAAACAAAUGACGGUACCUGUGGAGGAAGCCACGGCUAACUACGUGCCAGCAGCCGCGGUAAUACGUAGGUGGCGAGCGUUAUCCGGAUUUACUGGGUGUAAAGGGUGUGUAGGCGGAGAGGCAAGUCAGAUGUGAAAUCUAUGGGCUCAACCCAUAGCUUGCAUUUGAAACUGCUUCCCUUGAGCGUGGGAGAGGUGAAUGGAAUUCCUGGUGUAGCGGUGAAAUGCGUAGAUAUCAGGAGGAACACCGGUGGCGAAGGCGAUUCACUGGCCCAUGACUGACGCUGAGACACGAAAGCGUGGGGAGCAAACAGG
This 407-nucleotide ribosomal RNA is filed under the name uncultured prokaryote. Its description in RNAcentral is "bacterial SSU rRNA". It matches the Rfam family "Bacterial small subunit ribosomal RNA", at positions 355 to 776 of the family's 1533-position model. The record is from RNAcentral. RNAcentral also lists the same sequence under 1 other name.